RNAcentral lists this ribosomal RNA (717 nucleotides) under uncultured bacterium. RNAcentral describes it as "bacterial SSU rRNA". It matches the Rfam family "Bacterial small subunit ribosomal RNA", at positions 92 to 794 of the family's 1533-position model. The record is from RNAcentral.
CGAGUGGCGGACGGGUGAGUAACACGUAGGUAACCUGCCCAGAAGCGGGGGACAACAUUUGGAAACAGAUGCUAAUACCGCAUAACAGCGUUGUUCGCAUGAACAACGCUUAAAAGAUGGCUUCUCGCUAUCACUUCUGGAUGGACCUGCGGUGCAUUAGCUUGUUGGUGGGGUAACGGCCUACCAAGGCGAUGAUGCAUAGCCGAGUUGAGAGACUGAUCGGCCACAAUGGGACUGAGACACGGCCCAUACUCCUACGGGAGGCAGCAGUAGGGAAUCUUCCACAAUGGGCGCAAGCCUGAUGGAGCAACACCGCGUGAGUGAAGAAGGGUUUCGGCUCGUAAAGCUCUGUUGUUAAAGAAGAACACGUAUGAGAGUAACUGUUCAUACGUUGACGGUAUUUAACCAGAAAGUCACGGCUAACUACGUGCCAGCAGCCGCGGUAAUACGUAGGUGGCAAGCGUUAUCCGGAUUUAUUGGGCGUAAAGAGAGUGCAGGCGGUCUUCUAAGUCUGAUGUGAAAGCCUUCGGCUUAACCGGAGAAGUGCAUCGGAAACUGGAUAACUUGAGUGCAGAAGAGGGUAGUGGAACUCCAUGUGUAGCGGUGGAAUGCGUAGAUAUAUGGAAGAACACCAGUGGCGAAGGCGGCUACCUGGUCUGCAACUGACGCUGAGACUCGAAAGCAUGGGUAGCGAACAGGAUUAGAUACCCUGGUAGU